RNAcentral lists this ribosomal RNA (489 nucleotides) under uncultured bacterium. RNAcentral describes it as "partial 16S ribosomal RNA". It matches the Rfam family "Bacterial small subunit ribosomal RNA", at positions 30 to 506 of the family's 1533-position model. The record is from RNAcentral.
AUUGAACGCUGGCGGCAGGCCUAACACAUGCAAGUCGAAUGGUAACAGGAAACAGCUUGCUGUUUCGCUGACGAGUGGCGGACGGGUGAGUAAUGUCUGGGAAACUGCCUGAUGGAGGGGGAUAACUACUGGAAACGGUAGCUAAUACCGCAUAACGUCGCAAGACCAAAGAGGGGGACCUUCGGGCCUCUUGCCAUCAGAUGUGCCCAGAUGGGAUUAGCUAGUAGGUGGGGUAACGGCUCACCUAGGCGACGAUCCCUAGCUGGUCUGAGAGGAUGACCAGCCACACUGGAACUGAGACACGGUCCAGACUCCUACGGGAGGCAGCAGUGGGGAAUAUUGCACAAUGGGCGCAAGCCUGAUGCAGCCAUGCCGCGUGUAUGAAGAAGGCCUUCGGGUUGUAAAGUACUUUCAGCGGGGAGGAAGGGAGUAAAGUUAAUACCUUUGCUCAUUGACGCUACCCGCAGAAGAAGCACCGGCGAACUCCGU